CAGCGCCGCGGGAAUACGAAGGGUGCAAGCGUUACUCGGAAUUACUGGGCGUAAAGCGUGCGUAGGUGGUGGUUUAAGUCCGUUGUGAAAGCCCUGGGCUCAACCUGGGAAUUGCAGUGGAUACUGGGUCACUAGAGUGUGGUAGAGGAUAGUGGAAUUUCCGGUGUAGCAGUGAAAUGCGUAGAGAUCGGAAGGAACAUCUGUGGCGAAGGCGACUAUCUGGGCCAACACUGACACUGAGGCACGAAAGCGUGGGGAGCAAACAGGAUUAGAUACCCGCGUAGUCCCUGUCUCUUAUACA
RNAcentral lists this ribosomal RNA (301 nucleotides) under uncultured bacterium. Its description in RNAcentral is "partial 16S ribosomal RNA". It matches the Rfam family "Bacterial small subunit ribosomal RNA", at positions 509 to 808 of the family's 1533-position model. The record is from RNAcentral.